Malaclemys terrapin pileata is the source of this 238-nucleotide long non-coding RNA. RefSeq lists it as uncharacterized. NCBI's taxonomy places the organism in Eukaryota, Metazoa, Chordata, Testudines, Emydidae. The transcript has 3 exons. The record is from RefSeq and is a predicted model, not a curated record.
CAACAAGACAAUAGAAGCCUACAUCUUGCCCAAGAUAAUUAGCUUACAUGCUGAUGACAAGGGACAUCACUUCUCACAGAUGGAGAGUCUAGAAAGGAAUGAGUGGGGGAUGUGGUCAGACUCAAAGAUUUGGACAGGUGGAGUCAUACUGGAGCCCUACACAAUAGACCUCCAAGGGAGCAAAGAGAUCAAAGACAAUAUAGAAGGAAGAGAAAACAGAAAAUCCAAGCAGUGGAGA